RNAcentral lists this ribosomal RNA (230 nucleotides) under uncultured bacterium. Its description in RNAcentral is "partial 16S ribosomal RNA". It matches the Rfam family "Bacterial small subunit ribosomal RNA", at positions 107 to 334 of the family's 1533-position model. The record is from RNAcentral.
CGCGUAACACGUAAGCAACCUGCCCCAAAGACCGGGAUAACAUUCCGAAAGGGAUGCUAAUACCGGAUGUGGCCACGAGGAUGCCUAUCUUUGUGAUUAAACCGAGCAAUCGGCUUUGGGAGGGGCUUGCGGCCUAUCAGCUAGAUGGUGGGGUAACGGCCUACCAUGGCGACGACGGGUAGCUGGUCUGAGAGGACGGCCAGCCGGACUGGGACUGAGAUACGGCCCAG